Molecule: long non-coding RNA, 478 nt
Organism: Chelonoidis abingdonii (Abingdon island giant tortoise)
Lineage: Eukaryota; Metazoa; Chordata; Testudines; Testudinidae
Source: RefSeq, a predicted model, not a curated record
GGGGCUGACUUGCUAAUACUCCUCUCUUCUCUCAGUGCUCAGCAGUGAGCCGCCAUGGACAGGUGGUGGGGUGCCCAGGCGGGGCUGCCGUCCCUGGGGAGAUGCCCCCCCGUGAUCUGACCUGGCGGAGGCUGGAGGAAUGAAGCUGUGAUGCUGCCCUGCAGAGACCCGUGGGCACUGGGGUGCAGUGAGCCCCAUGGCUGGUGCUGUGCAGUGACCGUGGGGUGGUGCUGGGGUUGUGGGGGUAAAAAUUCACCAAGACUAUGACCUGCCCCACACUUCUGCAAGGACCUCCCUGCAACUCCCCAGACUGGUGCCAAGACUCCACAUGUGCUGAGGAGCCAGGAUUCCUGGGUUCUUUUCCCAGCUCCCCCUGCCCCUGAGCCGUGCUGAUCGGGUUUGUGCGGUUCACAUACUCUUCUUGCUGAUCCCGCUGCAGCUCCUGUCCUGCCAAUAAAGUCAUGUUGGUCUGAAUGGA